Molecule: ribosomal RNA, 301 nt
Filed under: uncultured bacterium
Lineage: Bacteria
Description: partial 16S ribosomal RNA
Rfam family: Bacterial small subunit ribosomal RNA
Source: RNAcentral
CAGCAGCCACGGUAAUACGUAGGUGGCAAGCGUUGUCCGGAAUUAUUGGGCGUAAAGGGCUCGCAGGCGGUUUCUUAAGUCUGAUGUGAAAGCCCCCGGCUCAACCGGGGAGGGUCAUUGGAAACUGGGAAACUUGAGUGCAGAAGAGGAGAGUGGAAUUCCACGUGUAGCGGUGAAAUGCGUAGAGAUGUGGAGGAACACCAGUGGCGAAGGCGACUCUCUGGUCUGUAACUGACGCUGAGGAGCGAAAGCGUGGGGAGCGAACAGGAUUAGAUACCCCCGUAGUCCCUGUCUCUUAUAA